This 497-nucleotide ribosomal RNA is filed under the name uncultured bacterium. RNAcentral's name for it is "partial 16S ribosomal RNA". It matches the Rfam family "Bacterial small subunit ribosomal RNA", at positions 28 to 507 of the family's 1533-position model. The record is from RNAcentral.
GAUGAACGCUGGCGGCGUGCCUAAUACAUGCAAGUCGAGCGAACGGACGAGAAGCUUGCUUCUCUGAUGUUAGCGGCGGACGGGAGAGUAACACGUGGAUAACCUACCUAUAAGACUGGGAUAACUUCGGGAAACCGGAGCUAAUACCGGAUCAUAUAUUGAACCGCAUAGUUCAAAAGUGAAAGACGGUCUUGCUGUCACUUAUAGAUGAAUCCGCGCUGCAUGAGCUAGUUGGUAAGGUAACGGCUUCCCAAGGCAACGAUGCAUAGCCGACCCGAGAGGGUGCACGCUCACGCUGGAUCUGAGACCUCUUCGCGUCGCGCACGGGAGGCCGCCGUCUGGAAUCUUCCGCAAUGCGCGCAUGCCUGACCGACCAAUCCCCCGUGAGUGAUGAGGGCUCUGGGUGCGGAGAACUCUGUUAUGAGGGAAGGACAUCUGUCUCACUAACCGUGCACAUUCUGCCGGUAGCCAAUAAAGAAGCAACGCCCAACCUCGAG